GACGAACGCUGGCGGCGCGCCUAACACAUGCAAGUCGAACGGAGCGUACUGUGUGAAGCCCUUCGGGGCGGAACUUUGUAUUGCUUAGUGGCGAACGGGUGAGUAACACGUGAGCAACCUGCCCUAGAGUGGGGGACAACAUUUGGAAACGAAUGCUAAUACCGCAUAAGACCACGGUGUCACAUGACACAGCGGCCAAAGGAUUUAUUCGCUUUAGGAUGGGCUCGCGUCUGAUUAGCUAGAUGGUGGGGUAACGGCUCACCAUGGCGACGAUCAGUAGCCGGACUGAGAGGUCGAUCGGCCACAUUGGGACUGAGAUACGGCCCAGACUCCUACGGGAGGCAGCAGUGGGGAAUAUUGGGCAAUGGGCGAAAGCCUGACCCAGCGACGCCGCGUGGAGGAAGAAGGUUUUCGGAUUGUAAACUUCUAUCAGCAGGGAAGAAAAUGACGGUACCUGACUAAGAAGCCCCGGCUAAUUACGUGCCAGCAGCCGCAGUAAUAC
This 502-nucleotide ribosomal RNA is filed under the name uncultured bacterium. RNAcentral describes it as "bacterial SSU rRNA". It matches the Rfam family "Bacterial small subunit ribosomal RNA", at positions 28 to 526 of the family's 1533-position model. The record is from RNAcentral.